GAUGAACGCUGGCGGCGUGCCUAAUACAUGCAAGUCGAGCGAACAGAUGAGGAGCUUGCUCCUCUGACGUUAGCGGCGGACGGGUGAGUAACACGUGGAUAACCUACCUAUAAGACUGGGAUAACUUCGGGAAACCGGAGCUAAUACCGGAUAAUAUAUUGAACCGCAUGGUUCAAUAGUGAAAGACGGUUUUGCUGUCACUUAUAGAUGGAUCCGCGCCGCAUUAGCUAGUUGGUAAGGUAACGGCUUACCAAGGCAACGAUGCGUAGCCGACCUGAGAGGGUGAUCGGCCACACUGGAACUGAGACACGGUCCAGACUCCUACGGGAGGCAGCAGUAGGGAAUCUUCCGCAAUGGGCGAAAGCCUGACGGAGCAACGCCGCGUGAGUGAUGAAGGUCUUCGGGUCGUAAAACUCUGUUAUUAGGGAAGAACAAAUGUGUAAGUAACUAUGCACGUCUUGACGGUACCUAAUCAGAAAGCCACGGCUAACUACGUG
RNAcentral lists this ribosomal RNA (497 nucleotides) under uncultured bacterium. RNAcentral's name for it is "partial 16S ribosomal RNA". It matches the Rfam family "Bacterial small subunit ribosomal RNA", at positions 28 to 507 of the family's 1533-position model. The record is from RNAcentral.